This is a long non-coding RNA of Neoarius graeffei (lesser salmon catfish), 643 nucleotides long. RefSeq lists it as uncharacterized. The transcript is spliced from 4 exons. Lineage: Eukaryota; Metazoa; Chordata; Actinopteri; Siluriformes; Ariidae. The record is from RefSeq and is a predicted model, not a curated record.
UCAGAGCUCUUGUGUUUGCUGAUAAAUUUGGAAUAAAUUUCCCUAAGUAGUUAACUAGCCCUAAGGCUCUCUGUAAGUCAUUUUUCUCCUGCUAUAGCCCGAACCUUCUCCAGAUCCGGUUGAACUCCUGCCCCAGACAAUUUCUCGCCCAGACUACCACAUCAUCGAUUAAGACUCCUACUCCUUCUAUUCCAUCGGAGUUGCUGCACAGUUCUAUGAAAAACUUCAGGGGCUGAGCUAAUCCCAAAUGAUUAUUAGAGAAAGGUUCUGAUGCGCCUAGAUGAAAUAGUGCAGAAUUAUCUGUAGGCUCGCGCUGCUAAGGAGACAACUACUGUACCAACCCACCAUUCAUCUGAUUCAGAAACCAGAGACAGCUGUUCGCUCUUUCACUGCUAGAAUUUCUAUUAUUGAAUACUGGUUCACCAUUAAAUAUUUUCUAGAGCCAGAACAAAAAUAAUGGUUGGCAUGUGUGUAAAUAUUGGAGUCAGUCUAUGUAGGUUUUUAUGCCAUUUUAGUGUAAUGUAAUAUCUGACCAGCGGCCAUCAUAAAAGUGCAGAAUAAUACCUUUAAGUUCCUUUGCAUAUUCAUGAUUACAUUUGAUUCAGGUAAUGCAUGUAUGAAUCUAUUUCAUCCUGUGAAACUA